Non-coding RNA from Halogranum salarium B-1, 2920 nucleotides. The record is from Rfam. Lineage: Archaea; Methanobacteriati; Methanobacteriota; Halobacteria; Halobacteriales; Haloferacaceae.
GUAGAAUGGCUACUGUGCCAGCUGGUGGAUAGCUCGGCUCGAGAGCCGAUGAAGGACGUGCCAAGCUGCGAAAAGCACCGGGGAGUCGCAUGGAGACUAAGAACCGGUGAUCUCCGAAUAGGAAUCCUCAUAGCAAUUGCUUUGCGCAAUGGGGAACGUCGAGAAUUGAAACAUCUUAGUAUCGACAGGAAAAGAAAGCAAACGCGAUGUCGUUAGUAACGGCGAGUAAACGCGACACAGUCCAAACCGAAUCCGCAAGGAAAUGUGGUGUUCGGACUGACACUCACUCUCCGACCCUCUAACUGAAAUCUCUUGGAACAGAGUAUGAAACAGGGUGACAAUCCCGUAAGUUAGAGCAGUACGAGACGCGUCAGCUCCAGAGUAGCGGGGGUUGGAUAUCCCUCGUGAACCUCGCGGGCAUCGACCGCGAAGACUAAACACUACUCGAGACCGAUAGCGAACAAGUAGCGUGAGCGAACGCUGAAAAGCACCCCGAGAAGGGCGGUGCAAUAGGGCUUGAAAUCAGUUGGCGAUAGAGCGACGAGGCAUACAAGGCCUCUCAAAAAACGAACCCAGGGCGACCUGACAGUAGGAAUUGAGAGGAGCCGGUGUCCCGUCGUACGUUUUGAAAAACGAACCAGGGAGUGUGUUUGGUUGGCGAGUCUAACAUGAGUAUCAUGGAAGGCGCAGGGAAACCGAUACGGCCGCAGCACUAUGUGUGAGGGCCACCGUGUUCAAGCGCGGGGAGUCAACCGUACACGACCCGAAACCGAGUGAUCUACACGAGGGCAAGGUGAAGCGUACCGAAAGGCACGUGGAGGCCUGUUAGAGUUGGUGUCCUACAAUACCCUCUCGUGACCUUCGUGUAGGGGUGAAAGGCCCAUCGAACUCGGCAACAGCUGGUUCCGACCGAAACAUGUCGAAGCAUGACCUUCGCCGAGGUAGUUCGUGAGGUAGAGCGACCGAUUGGGAGACCCGCCUCCGAGAGGAGUCGGCCUCCCUGUCGAACUCCGAACUUACGAACGCCGUGGACGCGAGGAAUCCGGUACUCCGGGGUAAGCUUGGGUACCGUGAAGGAGACAACCUAGAGUCUGGUUAAGGACCCCAAAUGUGGAUUAAGUGCGAUUGAAGGUGGUCUCGAGCCCUAAACAGCCGGGAGGUGAGCUUAGAAGCAGCUACCCUCUAAGAAAAGCGUAACAGCUUACCGGCCGAGGUUCGAGGCGCCGAAAAUGAUCGGGGCUCAAAUCCACUUCCGAGACCUGACCGUACCCGUCAUAGGGUAAUCGAGUAGGUCGGCAUUCUGCGCGGGUGGAAGCAUGGGCGAGAGUUCAUGUGGACCACGCAGUAACGAAAAUCCUGGUCACAGUAGCAGCGAAAGUCGGGUGAGUAACCCCGACGGCCUGAAGAGUAAGGGUUCCUCGGCACUGCCAAUCAGCCGAGGGUUAGUCGAUCCUAAGUCCUAUCGUAAUUCGAGUAGGACAAAAGGGUAACUGGUUAAUAUUCCAGUACUAUCACCACUCAAAGUCAACACUUUGGGAAACACCGAACCGGGCAUUCGCCCGGUCAAACCGGAGAAAUUCGUGGAAGCCGUAAUGGCACGAAGCGAACGAAUUCCGGGACAGCGCAAGUCGGUGGUACCUAGAGUCCGUGAAAAGACGAGCGUGAUACUCGUACCGAGAUCCGACACAGGUACUCUGGCAGAGCAAGCCAAGGCCCGUCGGGACCAACCGACGUUAGGGAAUUCGGCAAAUUAGUCCCGUAAGUUCGCGAGAAGGGAUGCCUGCCCCGUAUAAGGGCAGGUCGCAGUGACUCGGGCGCUCCGACUGUCUAGUAACAACAUAGGUGACCGCAAAUCCGUAAGGACUCGUACGGUCACUGAAUCCUGCCCAGUGCGGGUAUCUGAACACCUAGUACAAUAGGACGAAGGACCCGUCAACGGCGGGGGUAACUAUGACCCUCUUAAGGUAGCGUAGUACCUUGCCGCUUCAGUAGCGGCUUGCAUGAAUGGAUCAACGAGAGCGCCACUGUCCCAACGUUGGGCCCGGUGAACUGUACGUUCCAGUGCGGAGUCUGGAGACCCCCAAGGGGAAGCGAAGACCCUAUAGAGCUUUACUGCAGGCUGUCGCUGAGACGUGGUCGCUAAUGUGCAGCAUAGGUAGGAGCCGCUACACAGGUACCCGCGCUAGCGGGCCACCGAGGCAUCAGUGAAAUACUACCCGUUAGUGACUGCGACUCUCACUCCUGGCGGAGGACACCGGUAGCCGGGCAGUUUGACUGGGGCGGUACGCGCUCGAAAAGAUAUCGAGCGCGCCCCAAGGUUUCCUCACUCGGGUCGGAAACCCGAGGAAGAGCGCAAGAGCAAACGGAAGCCUGACAGUGUCCUGCCUAACGAGGGACGCUGACACGAAAGUGUGGUCUAGCGAACCUACGAGCCUGCUUGAUGCGGGCCGUAGAUGACAGAAAAGCUACCUUAGGGAUAACAGAGUCGUCACCGGCAAGAGCACAUAUCGACCCGGUGGCUUGCUACCUCGAUGUCGGUUCCCUCCAUCCUGCCUGUGCAGAAGCAGGCAAGGGUGAGGUUGUUCGCCUAUUAAAGGAGGUCGUGAGCUGGGUUUAGACCGUCGUGAGACAGGUCGGCUGCUAUCUAUUGGGGGUGUUAAGGUACUUGACGUGAACGAACGUAUAGUACGAGAGGAACUACGUUUGGGUGCCACUGGUGUACCGGUUGUCCGAAAGGGCAGAUGCCGGGAAGCUACGCACCACGGGGUAAGAGCUGAACGCAUCUAAGCUCGAAACCCACAUGAAAAAGAAGUACCACCGAGGACACUCGUAGAAGACGAGUUCGAUAGACUCGGGGUGUACGCGCCGAGGCAACGAGGCGUUUAGCCCACGAGCACUAACAGUCCAAGCCACAUUCAUA